Triticum urartu is the source of this 98-nucleotide non-coding RNA. NCBI's taxonomy places the organism in Eukaryota, Viridiplantae, Streptophyta, Magnoliopsida, Poales, Poaceae. The record is from Rfam.
UUGAUGCAAAUGAUCAGACAGAAGUUUUAUGGGUAAUUUGUGUCUGAGGCAUCUCUGUGAUGUUACACUCUUUUCACCUUGGAGCUCUGAUGCAUCCU